GUGACAGCAGCCGCGGUAAUACGGGGGGAGCAAGCGUCGUUCGGAUUUACUGGACGUAAAGGGCGCGUAGGCGGUCAGCACAAGUCAGUUGUGAAAUCUCCGGGCUUAACUCGGAAAGGUCAACUGAUACUGUGCGGCUAGAGUGCAGAAGGGGCAACUGGAAUUCUCGGUGUAGCGGUGAAAUGCGUAGAUAUCGAGAGGAACACCUGCGGCGAAGGCGGGUUGCUGGGCUGACACUGGCGCUGAUGCGCGAAAGCCAGGGGAGCGAACGGGAUUAGAUACCCCUGUAGUCC
Molecule: ribosomal RNA, 293 nt
Filed under: uncultured bacterium
Lineage: Bacteria
Description: partial 16S ribosomal RNA
Rfam family: Bacterial small subunit ribosomal RNA
Source: RNAcentral